GGCCUGGUGGUGUAUCUGCAACACAUCCCCUUAAAUUAAGGAAGUAGAAUUUGUAUCCAAGGAAGUACCCCGUUCGACCCGGGGCCAGGCCA
Molecule: non-coding RNA, 92 nt
Organism: Mycena galericulata
Lineage: Eukaryota; Fungi; Basidiomycota; Agaricomycetes; Agaricales; Mycenaceae
Source: the annotation of a GenBank genome assembly